RNAcentral lists this ribosomal RNA (253 nucleotides) under uncultured bacterium. RNAcentral describes it as "partial 16S ribosomal RNA". It matches the Rfam family "Bacterial small subunit ribosomal RNA", at positions 524 to 776 of the family's 1533-position model. The record is from RNAcentral.
UACGGGGGGGGCAAGCGUUGUUCGGAAUUACUGGGCGUAAAGGGCUCGUAGGUGGCCAACUAAGUCAGACGUGAAAUCCCUCGGCUUAACCGGGGAACUGCGUCUGAUACUGGAUGGCUUGAGUUCGGGAGAGGGAUGCGGAAUUCCAGGUGUAGCGGUGAAAUGCGUAGAUAUCUGGAGGAACGCCGGUGGCGAAGGCGGCAUCCUGGACCGACACUGACACUGAGGAGCGAAAGCCAGGGGAGCAAACGGG